UGUGGUGUAGCUCAGUGAUAGAGCAUUUCCUGGUGUGUAGGAGAUGCUAGGUUCCAUCCCUGGCACCAUAG
This 71-nucleotide transfer RNA is filed under the name Heterocephalus glaber (naked mole-rat). It matches the Rfam family "tRNA". Rfam says of the family: Transfer RNA (tRNA) molecules are approximately 80 nucleotides in length. The record is from Rfam by way of RNAcentral. Lineage: Eukaryota; Metazoa; Chordata; Mammalia; Rodentia; Bathyergidae.